This 798-nucleotide ribosomal RNA is filed under the name uncultured Porphyromonadaceae bacterium. RNAcentral's name for it is "bacterial SSU rRNA". It matches the Rfam family "Bacterial small subunit ribosomal RNA", at positions 8 to 794 of the family's 1533-position model. Lineage: Bacteria; Pseudomonadati; Bacteroidota; Bacteroidia; Bacteroidales; Porphyromonadaceae. The record is from RNAcentral.
AGAGUUUGAUCAUGGCUCAGGAUGAACGCUAGCGAUAGGCCUAACACAUGCAAGUCGAGGGGCAGCACAUGAAGUAGCAAUACGGAUGGUGGCGACCGGCGCACGGGUGAGUAACGCGUAUGCAACCUGCCUACAACAGGGGAAAUAACCCGUUGAAAAGACGGAUUAAUACCCCAUAACACAGGGAUCCCGCAUGGGAAUAUUUGUUAAAGAUUUAUCGGUUGUAGAUGGGCAUGCGUUCCAUUAGCUUGUUGGUGAGGUAACGGCUCACCAAGGCAACGAUGGAUAGGGGAACUGAGAGGUUUAUCCCCCACACUGGUACUGAGACACGGACCAGACUCCUACGGGAGGCAGCAGUGAGGAAUAUUGGUCAAUGGACGCAAGUCUGAACCAGCCACGUCGCGUGAAGGAAGACGGCCCUACGGGUUGUAAACUUCUUUUGUAAGGGAAUAAAGUGCAGUACGUGUACUGUUUUCAUGUACCUUACGAAUAAGGAUCGGCUAACUCCGUGCCAGCAGCCGCGGUAAUACGGAGGAUCCGAGCGUUAUCCGGAUUUAUUGGGUUUAAAGGGUGCGCAGGCGGGAGAUUAAGUCGGCGGUGAAAUUUUGCAGCUCAACUGUAAAAGUGCCUUCGAAACUGGUUUUCUUGAGUGUGGAUGAAGUAGGCGGAAUUUGUGGUGUAGCGGUGAAAUGCAUAGAUAUCACGAGGAACUCCGAUUGCGCAGGCAGCUUACUAAACCAUAACUGACGCUCAGGCACGAAGGCGUGGGGAUCAAACAGGAUUAGAUACCCUGGUAGU